RNAcentral lists this ribosomal RNA (234 nucleotides) under uncultured Staphylococcus sp. RNAcentral describes it as "partial 16S ribosomal RNA". It matches the Rfam family "Bacterial small subunit ribosomal RNA", at positions 106 to 334 of the family's 1533-position model. The record is from RNAcentral. Lineage: Bacteria; Bacillati; Bacillota; Bacilli; Caryophanales; Staphylococcaceae.
GUGAGUAACACGUGGAUAACCUACCUAUAAGACUGGGAUAACUUCGGGAAACCGGAGCUAAUACCGGAUAAUAUUUCGAACCGCAUGGUUCAAAAGUGAAAGACGGUCUUGCUGUCACUUAUAGAUGGAUCCGCGCUGCAUUAGCUAGUUGGUAAGGUAACGGCUUACCAAGGCAACGAUGCAUAGCCGACCUGAGAGGGUGAUCGGCCACACUGGAACUGAGACACGGUCCAG